This 345-nucleotide unclassified non-coding RNA is filed under the name Hevea brasiliensis (rubber tree). The record is from RNAcentral. Lineage: Eukaryota; Viridiplantae; Streptophyta; Magnoliopsida; Malpighiales; Euphorbiaceae.
GUCCAUUAGAGGCGCCUGGUUCAAAUAAUUCUCUGACAACCAAGCCAGAACCGUCAAUGAAGUGGUUGUGUCUACUGGAAGAUUCAGAUAAUAGAGUAAUUUCAAUCCCAUCAACAGCUUGUGAGCUUGGCAAAUUGUGAUUGCGUGCCACGGCUGGGCUUCCUCUUUCGGGAAGAAGCUCCAGACCAGUUUCAUCCUCAUUAUUGGAUGGAAAUUUAGACAAGAGUUCAUCACUGCAAGCAGCUGCGGACAUUUCUCGAGAUCGGUUAUCAAGGAUUUCGAAAAUUAAUCUCUGUAUUAAAGUUCGCUUGAGGUAGGCCUCAGCAGGUGGGAACCAAUCCACAU